GGUUAAGCGACUAAGCGUACACGGUGGAUGCCCUGGCAGUCAGAGGCGAUGAAGGACGUGCUAAUCUGCGAUAAGCGUCGGUAAGGUGAUAUGAACCGUUAUAACCGGCGAUUUCCGAAUGGGGAAACCCAGUGUGAUUCGUCACACUAUCAUUAACUGAAUCCAUAGGUUAAUGAGGCGAACCGGGGGAACUGAAACAUCUAAGUACCCCGAGGAAAAGAAAUCAACCGAGAUUCCCCCAGUAGCGGCGAGCGAACGGGGAGGAGCCCAGAGCCUGAAUCAGUAUGUGUGUUAGUGGAAGCGUCUGGAAAGGCGCGCGAUACAGGGUGACAGCCCCGUACACAAAAAUGCACAUGCUGUGAGCUCGAUGAGUAGGGCGGGACACGUGGUAUCCUGUCUGAAUAUGGGGGGACCAUCCUCCAAGGCUAAAUACUCCUGACUGACCGAUAGUGAACCAGUACCGUGAGGGAAAGGCGAAAAGAACCCCGGCGAGGGGAGUGAAAAAGAACCUGAAACCGUGUACGUACAAGCAGUGGGAGCACAGAGCAAUCUGUGUGACUGCGUACCUUUUGUAUAAUGGGUCAGCGACUUAUAUUCUGUAGCAAGGUUAACCGAAUAGGGGAGCCGAAGGGAAACCGAGUCUUAACUGGGCGUUAAGUUGCAGGGUAUAGACCCGAAACCCGGUGAUCUAGCCAUGGGCAGGUUGAAGGUUGGGUAACACUAACUGGAGGACCGAACCGACUAAUGUUGAAAAAUUAGCGGAUGACUUGUGGCUGGGGGUGAAAGGCCAAUCAAACCGGGAGAUAGCUGGUUCUCCCCGAAAGCUAUUUAGGUAGCGCCUCGUGAAUUCAUCUCCGGGGGUAGAGCACUGUUUCGGCAAGGGGGUCAUCCCGACUUACCAACCCGAUGCAAACUGCGAAUACCGGAGAAUGUUAUCACGGGAGACACACGGCGGGUGCUAACGUCCGUCGUGAAGAGGGAAACAACCCAGACCGCCAGCUAAGGUCCCAAAGUCAUGGUUAAGUGGGAAACGAUGUGGGAAGGCCCAGACAGCCAGGAUGUUGGCUUAGAAGCAGCCAUCAUUUAAAGAAAGCGUAAUAGCUCACUGGUCGAGUCGGCCUGCGCGGAAGAUGUAACGGGGCUAAACCAUGCACCGAAGCUGCGGCAGCGACGCUGAUGCGUUGUUGGGUAGGGGAGCGUUCUGUAAGCCUGUGAAGGUGUGCUGUGAGGCAUGCUGGAGGUAUCAGAAGUGCGAAUGCUGACAUAAGUAACGAUAAAGCGGGUGAAAAGCCCGCUCGCCGGAAGACCAAGGGUUCCUGUCCAACGUUAAUCGGGGCAGGGUGAGUCGACCCCUAAGGCGAGGCCGAAAGGCGUAGUCGAUGGGAAACAGGUUAAUAUUCCUGUACUUGGUGUUACUGCGAAGGGGGGACGGAGAAGGCUAUGUUGGCCGGGCGACGGUUGUCCCGGUUUAAGCGUGUAGGCUGGUUUUCCAGGCAAAUCCGGAAAACUAAGGCUGAGGCGUGAUGACGAGGCACUACGGUGCUGAAGCAACAAAUGCCCUGCUUCCAGGAAAAGCCUCUAAGCAUCAGGUAACAUCAAAUCGUACCCCAAACCGACACAGGUGGUCAGGUAGAGAAUACCAAGGCGCUUGAGAGAACUCGGGUGAAGGAACUAGGCAAAAUGGUGCCGUAACUUCGGGAGAAGGCACGCUGAUAUGUAGGUGAAGUCCCUCGCGGAUGGAGCUGAAAUCAGUCGAAGAUACCAGCUGGCUGCAACUGUUUAUUAAAAACACAGCACUGUGCAAACACGAAAGUGGACGUAUACGGUGUGACGCCUGCCCGGUGCCGGAAGGUUAAUUGAUGGGGUCAGCGCAAGCGAAGCUCUUGAUCGAAGCCCCGGUAAACGGCGGCCGUAACUAUAACGGUCCUAAGGUAGCGAAAUUCCUUGUCGGGUAAGUUCCGACCUGCACGAAUGGCGUAAUGAUGGCCAGGCUGUCUCCACCCGAGACUCAGUGAAAUUGAACUCGCUGUGAAGAUGCAGUGUACCCGCGGCAAGACGGAAAGACCCCGUGAACCUUUACUAUAGCUUGACACUGAACAUUGAGCCUUGAUGUGUAGGAUAGGUGGGAGGCUUUGAAGUGUGGACGCCAGUCUGCAUGGAGCCGACCUUGAAAUACCACCCUUUAAUGUUUGAUGUUCUAACGUUGACCCGUAAUCCGGGUUGCGGACAGUGUCUGGUGGGUAGUUUGACUGGGGCGGUCUCCUCCUAAAGAGUAACGGAGGAGCACGAAGGUUGGCUAAUCCUGGUCGGACAUCAGGAGGUUAGUGCAAUGGCAUAAGCCAGCUUGACUGCGAGCGUGACGGCGCGAGCAGGUGCGAAAGCAGGUCAUAGUGAUCCGGUGGUUCUGAAUGGAAGGGCCAUCGCUCAACGGAUAAAAGGUACUCCGGGGAUAACAGGCUGAUACCGCCCAAGAGUUCAUAUCGACGGCGGUGUUUGGCACCUCGAUGUCGGCUCAUCACAUCCUGGGGCUGAAGUAGGUCCCAAGGGUAUGGCUGUUCGCCAUUUAAAGUGGUACGCGAGCUGGGUUUAGAACGUCGUGAGACAGUUCGGUCCCUAUCUGCCGUGGGCGCUGGAGAACUGAGGGGGGCUGCUCCUAGUACGAGAGGACCGGAGUGGACGCAUCACUGGUGUUCGGGUUGUCAUGCCAAUGGCACUGCCCGGUAGCUAAAUGCGGAAGAGAUAAGUGCUGAAAGCAUCUAAGCACGAAACUUGCCCCGAGAUGAGUUCUCCCUGACUCCUUGAGAGUCCUGAAGGAACGUUGAAGACGACGACGUUGAUAGGCCGGGUGUGUAAGCGCAGCGAUGCGUUGAGCUAACCGGUACUAAUGAACCGUGAGGCUUAACCUU
Molecule: ribosomal RNA, 2906 nt
Filed under: Escherichia coli
Lineage: Bacteria; Pseudomonadati; Pseudomonadota; Gammaproteobacteria; Enterobacterales; Enterobacteriaceae
Description: 23S ribosomal RNA
Rfam family: Bacterial large subunit ribosomal RNA
Source: RNAcentral